Molecule: ribosomal RNA, 556 nt
Filed under: uncultured Aspergillus
Lineage: Eukaryota; Fungi; Ascomycota; Eurotiomycetes; Eurotiales; Aspergillaceae
Description: SSU rRNA
Rfam family: Eukaryotic small subunit ribosomal RNA
Source: RNAcentral
GGAAGGGGUGUAUUUAUUAGAUAAAAAACCAAUGCCCUUCGGGGCUCCUUGGUGAAUCAUAAUAACUUAACGAAUCGCAUGGCCUUGCGCCGGCGAUGGUUCAUUCAAAUUUCUGCCCUAUCAACUUUCGAUGGUAGGAUAGUGGCCUACCAUGGUGGCAACAGGUAACGGGGAAUUAGGGUUCGAUUCCGGAGAGGGAGCCUGAGAAACGGCUACCACAUCCAAGGAAGGCAGCAGGCGCGCAAAUUGCCCAAUCCCGACACGGGGAGGUAGUGACAAUAAAUACUGAUACGGGGCUCUUUUGGGUCUCGUAAUUGGAAUGAGUACAAUCUAAAUCCCUUAACGAGGAACAAUUGGAGGGCAAGUCUGGUGCCAGCAGCCGCGGUAAUUCCAGCUCCAAUAGCGUAUAUUAAAGUUGUUGCAGUUAAAAAGCUCGUAGUUGAACCUUGGGUCUGGCUGGCCGGUCCGCCUCACCGCGAGUACUGGUCCGGCUGGACCUUUCCUUCUGGGGAAUCUCAUGGCCUUCACUGGCUGUGGGGGGAACCAGGACUUUUAC